This 68-nucleotide transfer RNA is filed under the name Pseudognaptodon sp. QL-2014. RNAcentral describes it as "tRNA-Glu". The record is from RNAcentral. Lineage: Eukaryota; Metazoa; Arthropoda; Insecta; Hymenoptera; Braconidae.
AUUUAUAUAGUUUAUUAAAAACUUUAUAUUUUCAUUAUAAAAAAAAUAUAAUAUUAUAUUUAUAAAUU